UACGUAGGGGGCGAGCGUUGUCCGGAUUUAUUGGGCGUAAAGAGCGUGUAGGCGGCCAGGUAGGUCUGCUGUGAAAACUCGAGGCUCAACUUCGAGCUGUCGGCGGAAACUAUCUGGCUAGAGUCCGGAAGAGGAGAGUGGAAUUCCUGGUGUAGCGGUGAAAUGCGCAGAUAUCAGGAAGAACACCCGUGGCGAAGGCGGCUCUCUGGGACGGUACUGACGCUGAGACGCGAAAGCGUGGGGAGCGAACAGG
This 253-nucleotide ribosomal RNA is filed under the name uncultured bacterium. RNAcentral's name for it is "partial 16S ribosomal RNA". It matches the Rfam family "Bacterial small subunit ribosomal RNA", at positions 524 to 776 of the family's 1533-position model. The record is from RNAcentral.